GAGAUUUUGUAAAUAAGCAGUGAAUUUAUUGUUCUGAUUUGUUUGAAAUUAUAAUAUUUGGCCUACUAAAUACGUAAAUAAUGAAAUAGAUUUAGUUGAUUGCACACAACAGACAAAGAGUAUAGAAAUAUGCAUCCAGGGAAUAAGCAGGUGAUCAAAGUUUUUUUUGUUUUUAAAGGCUACUGUAGUUUUGAGUCUCUUGUACAAGUUCUUGCAAGGCUAAAUUUGCUAACAUUAUUUUUGCCCUUGACUCUUCAAUGACAGAUGACAGAUGUUGUAAGUUAGGAAAACUUUCCCUGCAGUAACCUUUUAUUAAUGGAUCAUAAUGGUGGCAGAAGCAUAACUCUUGUGACAUUCAAGAUGAUGAGCUAAGAAACAGGACAGAUUUGAGAUGUGUAUUGACAAAUGAUGAGAAAACUGUUAUGCUCUCCUUACUACACCCUUACUGAACCUGAAGAGAAAAGGUUGAUAGGUUUGAAUAGCAGUUCUAGUAUUGUGUUCUUCUUCUGCAACUCUCAAAAGGCCUUUGCAAAGCUGAGACACAAAGUCAACAGAGACAAAGCAUAA
RNAcentral lists this long non-coding RNA (567 nucleotides) under Parus major (Great Tit). RNAcentral's name for it is "lncRNA (ENSPMJG00000007936.1)". Lineage: Eukaryota; Metazoa; Chordata; Aves; Passeriformes; Paridae. The record is from RNAcentral.